Molecule: ribosomal RNA, 253 nt
Filed under: uncultured bacterium
Lineage: Bacteria
Description: partial 16S ribosomal RNA
Rfam family: Bacterial small subunit ribosomal RNA
Source: RNAcentral
UACGUAGGGGGCUAGCGUUGUCCGGAAUCAUUGGGCGUAAAGCGCACGUAGGCGGAUCAGUUAGUCGGGGGUGAAAUCCCGGGGCUCAACCCCGGAACUGCCUUCGAUACUGCUGGUCUGGAGUCCGAAAGAGGUGAGUGGAAUUCCGAGUGUAGAGGUGAAAUUCGUAGAUAUUCGGAGGAACACCAGUGGCGAAGGCGGCUCACUGGCUCGGUACUGACGCUGAGGUGCGAAAGCGUGGGGAGCAAACAGG